CAGAGUCAGAGACCUGGCCUUUCUUUCCACAUGCCCCUCCUAGCAUAAUUUUUUAAUACAUGAUACAACCAAAGGAAAGAAAUCCACAGAAUGUAAAGAGACUUCUACAGAAUACCGAAGUAACAGAGUUUGAUACUGCCUGCCUGGCGAUGCAUUAUGCAUUACAUUAUGAGUGACAGCAGCAGGAAUAGCCUGUCAGGACUAAUGGUGGACCUCAGGAGUAAAGGCAUUUCUGAGAAGUAUCAAAAGUUCGUGCCUGCAAUUGUUGAUUUUGGUGGUAAACAAGUCAGAGGAAGUGACCUCUUCAAUUGUUGAUUUGGUGGUAAACAAGUCAGAGGAAGUGACCUCUUCAGCACCAAAGUUGCUGUGGCUAUCACUAAACAGUUCCUCAGAGGACUGAAGGUGUAAACAUCUUCUCUGGGCUUUCCUAAGUGAGAAAUAAUUGAAGCCCCUGAGGCUGAAAGUGGAUGAAUGUGAUCUUCAAAGUACCUUCAAGACUGUGGUUGAUUUAGUACUGUCAAGUAAAUGAAAUUGAAAAGUA
Molecule: long non-coding RNA, 541 nt
Organism: Carlito syrichta (Philippine tarsier)
Lineage: Eukaryota; Metazoa; Chordata; Mammalia; Primates; Tarsiidae
Exons: 3
Source: RefSeq, a predicted model, not a curated record